ACAACCUAAUAAGGUUAUGGGCUGUGACGAGCAUGUUGCAUGCACCUGGAAAUGGGAGAAAGGCAGGCGUGGAAUGAGCUUACCUGCUGCUCUACAUGAAAGCAGAAUUACUUUUAUAUUAUCUUGAUAAAACUAGUCAUCAACCUCUGUACAGCAGAAAAUCAACAUAGUCUGUAGACUUGGAAGUCGGGUUUUUUUCCACAUGCCUUUUCAUUUAUUUUCUGUCCCUUAUGAUUGCCUCUGGGGGAUAUUCCUGAUAUUGUCAUAUUGUUCCUCUGUGCUUGGUUCUCUGUAGCCUGCUGUUGGAGCUUGACUUAUAUUUGACUUUGGAACUCUUCAGACUUCUGUCUCCAAGAAGAUGAACUGUAACCUUUACUGCAGAGAGCUCCAUCAUGCCCAAGGAACAAAGAUGUUGACCACAGUCUUUCUUACACAAUUAAGUAAUCUUUUAGACAUUCUGACAAUAAACUGUGGACGGUCUGAAGGUUAUGUCUCCUGUUUCAUGCAUCAGCUCAGUGGGUGGAAUCCUGACUCUUCUUAAAUCAAUGGCAAAACUCUCUCUGACAUUCACUGGUGAGGAUUUCAGUGUUUGUCUUUAACAGCUGUCAUAACACAUUUUAUGAUGCAUUUGACCCUCUCUGCUCCUCCCAUUAGAGCUUUGAAUUAGAAGAMUCGAGUAUGUCCAGUAAUCAACAAGCAGAUUUCUCAAAGAGCUUGAAAGUCUCUAAGGUUAAGAAUAGAUAAAAGAGCGAUUGGAAAUUCAUCCAGCCAAAAAGCCCUUCUUAGGGAUGGGGCAAGUUUUGGUUUAGAAGACGCUUGUGACCUGCAUUU
This 831-nucleotide long non-coding RNA is filed under the name Dromaius novaehollandiae (emu). RNAcentral describes it as "lncRNA (ENSDNVG00000001992.1)". Lineage: Eukaryota; Metazoa; Chordata; Aves; Casuariiformes; Dromaiidae. The record is from RNAcentral.